RNAcentral lists this transfer RNA (84 nucleotides) under Erysipelotrichaceae bacterium. RNAcentral describes it as "tRNA-Leu". It matches the Rfam family "tRNA". Rfam says of the family: Transfer RNA (tRNA) molecules are approximately 80 nucleotides in length. Their secondary structure includes four short double-helical elements and three loops (D, anti-codon, and T loops). The record is from RNAcentral. RNAcentral also lists the same sequence under 2 other names. Lineage: Bacteria; Bacillati; Bacillota; Erysipelotrichia; Erysipelotrichales; Erysipelotrichaceae.
GCAGGAGUGGUGGAACGGCAGACACGCUGUCUUCAGGCGGCAGUGGAGCAAUCCGUGUGGGUUCAAAUCCCAUCUCCUGCACCA